AAUCCAUGCUGAGGGCACCUCUGUAAAAGGUCUUUAAAUCUUUCCCAUGUCUCAAAAAGAGACUCCAACUCAGAUUGUAUACAAGUGGAGAUUUCAUUCUGAAGCU
Molecule: small nucleolar RNA, 106 nt
Organism: Dioscorea cayenensis subsp. rotundata (Guinea yam)
Lineage: Eukaryota; Viridiplantae; Streptophyta; Magnoliopsida; Dioscoreales; Dioscoreaceae
Source: RefSeq, a predicted model, not a curated record